This 376-nucleotide ribosomal RNA is filed under the name uncultured bacterium. RNAcentral's name for it is "bacterial SSU rRNA". It matches the Rfam family "Bacterial small subunit ribosomal RNA", at positions 524 to 898 of the family's 1533-position model. The record is from RNAcentral.
UACGGGGGGAGCAAGCGUUAUCCGGAAUUACUGGGCGUAAAGGGCACGUAGGCGGGCUCUUAAGUCAGAUUUUAAAUCCAACAGCUUAACUGUUGAUCUGGAUCUGAAACUGGGAGUCUUGAAUGCAAGAGAGGAAAGCGGAAUUCCUGGUGUAGCGGUGAAAUGCGUAGAUAUCAGGAAGAACACCGGUGGCGAAGGCGGCUUUCUGGCUUGUUAUUGACGCUGAUGUGCGAAAGCGUGGGGAGCGAACAGGAUUAGAUACCCUGGUAGUCCACGCCCUAAACGUUGUACACUUGGUGUCGGAGGAUCUAACCCCUUCGGUGCCGUAGCUAACGCAUUAAGUGUACCGCCUGGGGACUACGGUCGCAAGGCUGAA